AUGGACAUACCUCUGGUGUACCAGUUGUCGUGCCAACGGCAUAGCUGGGUAGCUAUGUAUGGACGGGAUAAGUGCUGAAAGCAUCUAAGCAUGAAGCCCCCCUCAAGAUGAGAUUUCCCAACUUCGGUUAUAAGAUCCCUCGAAGAUGACGAGGUUAAUAGGUUCGAGGUGGAAGCGUGGUGACACGUGGAGCUGACGAAUACUAAUCGAUCGAAGACUUAAUCAA
Molecule: ribosomal RNA, 226 nt
Filed under: Staphylococcus epidermidis NIHLM021
Lineage: Bacteria; Bacillati; Bacillota; Bacilli; Caryophanales; Staphylococcaceae
Also listed under: 2 other names
Description: partial 23S ribosomal RNA
Rfam family: Bacterial large subunit ribosomal RNA
Source: RNAcentral